GCGGGCAUAGCUCAGUGGUAGAGCCACAGCCUUCCAAGCUGUGGGUCACGGGUUCGAUCCCCGUUGCCCGCUCCA
Molecule: transfer RNA, 75 nt
Filed under: Candidatus Poribacteria bacterium
Lineage: Bacteria; Candidatus Poribacteria
Description: tRNA-Gly
Rfam family: tRNA
About the family: Transfer RNA (tRNA) molecules are approximately 80 nucleotides in length. Their secondary structure includes four short double-helical elements and three loops (D, anti-codon, and T loops). Further hydrogen bonds mediate the characteristic L-shaped molecular structure. tRNAs have two regions of fundamental functional importance: the anti-codon, which is responsible for specific mRNA codon recognition, and the 3' end, to which the tRNAs corresponding amino acid is attached (by aminoacyl-tRNA synthetases). tRNAs cope with the degeneracy of the genetic code in two manners: having more than one tRNA (with a specific anti-codon) for a particular amino acid; and 'wobble' base-pairing, i.e. permitting non-standard base-pairing at the 3rd anti-codon position.
Source: RNAcentral